Molecule: unclassified non-coding RNA, 242 nt
Filed under: Hevea brasiliensis (rubber tree)
Lineage: Eukaryota; Viridiplantae; Streptophyta; Magnoliopsida; Malpighiales; Euphorbiaceae
Source: RNAcentral
GGACAACAGGUACAUUGAGAGCUUGUGCAGGAUCAGCAAGGGGUAGGAGCAGUCUGAGUGCAGACUUCGAAGAUGUGUAAUCCAGUGACGAAGCCAAAGUUACAAUAGCAGUUAAUCCAGGCUCUCUUCCUUGCAAUCCACACUGUGAUAGCCAAGCAUAUAGUAAUAUUCCUCCCAUAGAAUGUCCAAUGGCAAGAAGUUUACCAUCUUUUGGUGCAGUUUGGGCCUUAAUGUAUUCCAUC